Molecule: ribosomal RNA, 369 nt
Filed under: uncultured eukaryote
Lineage: Eukaryota
Description: SSU rRNA
Rfam family: Eukaryotic small subunit ribosomal RNA
Source: RNAcentral
AGCUCCAAUAGCGUAUAUUAAAGUUGUUGCAGUUAAAAAGCUCGUAGUUGAAUUUCUGGCUGGAGCUGCACUGGCUUAGGUCGGUGUAGUUCUCAGUCAUCCGUAUGAGAAACCUUCUCGCUCUUCAUCGGGCGGCUGGUGUAUCAUACAAUUUACUUUGAAAAAAUUAGAGUGUUUCAGGCAGGCAAUUGCUGGGAUACACAAGCAUGGAAUAAUGGAAUAGGACUUUAAUCUAUUUUAUUGGUAUAUUAGAUUGAAGUAAUGAUUAAUAGGGACAGUUGGGGGCAUUAGUAUUUAAUUGUCAGAGGUGAAAUUCUUGGAUUUAUUAAAGACUAACUUAUGCGAAAGCAUUUGCCAAGGAUGUUUUCA